UACUAGGGGUGUGUAAGAGUUUGUGUACAUAGGGAAUAUAUGUAAUAAGCGUUUGAUAAUAGCUACUGUUUAGUUGUUUGGUAAGAAGCUGAAAUGAAUAACAGACCCGUUAAUGAAUCAGUCCUAUUAGUGGAAUAAUUGUUUUUAUGUGACUCAUUUUUGGCCAUUUAGUCUGUCCCCGCAUUACACAAGAACUUUGUGCUGAUGAGACAAUAGUAGACAGUGUGUGCAUUUAAUAUAGAACAGACCAUUCUACCGGCUGGGGGAAGUCAUGCACCUAUACAUUGAAGAGGGAGGGCAAAAAGAAAAAGGGGGCUAUUUCUCCGGCCUCGCUGCAGUCCGGGUCCUCAAAACGGUCCCCCCGUGGGCCGAAGUCGGACUGAAAGUUUGAGGCUGGCGGGCCCCUUCUGCGGGGCUCGGCCGCCGGGGGUGUAGAGACGCCCCCUCCUUGCUCGCCCGAGUGGAGCUGGCGCAGUGAAUCAUGUGCAGUUCUUUCCUUAUUGCAUUCAGCGCGUGGUUUCACCUUCAGGUUGUUGUUUGUCUGUCCUUCUCCAAAUCACAUCACCUUUAAAACCGAGAUAAGGUUUUGUUUGCCAUCUGACUCAGAAACAUCAAUGAAUGCUUAUAUCCGGAAUGCUCUCAAGCUGAGAAGCAGUUUGAAUAUAGGAAUGAAGAGAUAGAAGCUUGGUGAGAAACAUCCCCAUCCCAAUAGAAAUUUCAACAUAAUUUUCCACUCCUGGGCAGGGCUUUUACCUGUUGACUGAUGUUGUUGGAAUACAGAUGGAUUGUAGUGUAGGUGCAAACAUGGAAUUGCGAAGAGCCUCCAGUCCUCACAGGAUGAAUAAGAAUGAUGUGGAUGCAGACAAAUCUGUGUUGCACAGCUGCUGCAUAUGUGGCAAGAGUUUUCCCUUCCAGAGCUCACUGUCACAACACAUGAGGAAGCACACUGGAGAGAAGCCCUAUAAGUGCCCUUACUGUGAUCACAGAGCUUCCCAAAAGGGCAACUUAAAGAUCCAUAUUCGGGGUCACCGAACAGGCACCAUAAGCCAGAGGAAUGAUGUGGAGACGGUGGGAGAGGCUCAGCUUAAUGAGAUGAGGGUCUUCGAAGGCUUUGAUGGUUGCACCAGCCCUACCAAAAGCACCUCUGCUUGCAACAAAAUAUUGAAUGGAACAGUUCCCACAGAGGAUAGCAAGAUCUUGCUCAGAAGCAGCAGAAAAGAGGUAUUGGCCGAUGAUGUUAAACUAUGUACUGUUCAGUGCAACUUCUGUAAAAGCAAAUUUGAAGGGAAGAAAGAGUUGGAGCAACACAUACACCAAGUGCAUAAGCCUUUCAAAUGUAGGCUGUGUAAUUACAUGACCCUAAGACAGGAGACCCUUUUAAACCACAUAGAGAGAGACCAUAUUACCACUCAAAUUCCAAAUGGGGAAGCCUACCCCGAGAACUGCAAGCCUGAGUCCAAUGCUGGAGAAUUUCCUUGUGAAGUCUGUGGACAAGCCUUUAGUCAAACAUGGUUCCUCAAAGCUCACAUGAAGAAGCAUCGAGGGUCAUUUGACCAUGGGUGCCACAUUUGUGGCCGGAAAUUUAAAGAGCCCUGGUUCCUUAAAAACCACAUGAAAUCUCAUGGCCCAAAAGCUGGGAGUAAAAACAAGCCCAAAAGUGAUUUAGAGCCCAUUGCCACUAUCAACAAUGUCAUUCAAGAAGAGACUAUUGUGACUGGAUUAUCCCUUUAUGAAGUUUGUACCAAGUGUGGAAACCUGUUUACAAAUAUGGAGAGCCUAAAAGCACAUAAUUCUGUACACUGUAAGUCUCAAGGGAUUUGCAGUGAUCCCAGAGAAGAGAGACUAAUAGAUGGAGAUUUGGAUUCAUCUAUAGCAAAACAGUUUUUCUUCCAAUAUCUGAACUUGAGGCCGUCUGUAUGGAUAGAAGGUGUUUCAAGGGGCCAGUCAGGUAGAAGAGUAGCUGAGCUGGAUCCAGUCAACAGUUACCAAGCUUGGCACUUGGCUACCAAAGGGAAAGUUGCAGAGCCUUCUGAGUACGUUAAGUAUUUAGGAUGGGAUGAAGUUCUGGCAGAUGCUGAUGUCACAUAUGACAGGGACAAAAGGGAAUAUAUCCUUGUUAGUCAAGAGAAACGCAAGCACGAGCAAGAUGCAUCCAACUCUUCCAGUAAUCCAAAGAAGAAGAAUUGCACUGGUGGCCGUUCAGAGAAAAGCAAUAAUGCACAAGCAGGGGACAACUGCAUCCUUGAUCCAGAUGACUUAGAAUACAGACCAUCCUCACGUCAAAGCAGAAGGGUAUCACAGAACAAGUCCACCGAGUGCUUUGAGUGUGGCAAGAUUUUCCGCACAUAUCACCAAAUGGUGCUUCAUUCCCGAGUCCACAGGAAAGAGCGCCGAAGCUGCAGUGAAGGUGGAUCGGUAGUUCAACAUGAUAGAUACGGUUCCAAUAGUGAGGACGGUGAUUCUGGAUCUGUCAGUGCACCGAGUACACCAAGUUCUGCUUCUGCUCAAGAAGAUUCGGUUACCUCUGGAAUAGGUGAAGAGGGUCCUGAGGACAGCUCUGAAGAAGGGAUACAUGAGCCAUCCCCAUGUAAAAAACCAUAUCUCUGCAAUUUUUCUGCUGAAGAUGCAUCUGGGACAGCCCUACAGCUCAAUCAGGAAAGAAACAAUAGAGAAAAAAAUGCUGUGAAAUCUAAACCUGAAGUGCUAAAGGUGGCAUCUAUACCCCACGACAAGAUCAAAGAACCAUUUCCAAAAUACGUGGAUUGCAAAAUUUACCCUGAUUCAAAGAUGUCAGCAUUUCAGCAAAGUUGUGAUUUUCCUUGUUCCAGUAAGACUGCUGAUGUGAGACUGAAUUUGCAAAGCCCCUUGGAAAUUCAACAGAAGCUCGCUAAAGAGAUCCUUGUAGAGAUGAAUGAACAUUCUGUGCUCAAUAAAGAUACAGAGAUGUCUGAAAAGACUGCAUUAGAUCUUAGUGAGAAAUCAACUAGGGCUGAUUCAAGUUUUACCUCAACCUUGCAGGCUGCUCUGAUUGUCCACCGAUGUCCUUACUGCAGUCAUAAAACUUACUAUCCAGAAGUCCUGUGGAUGCACAAAAGAAUUUGGCACAAAGUUAGUUGUAAUUCUAUGGCUCCUGCUUGGGUUCUUCAAAAUGGAUUCAAGAGUAUAAAACAUAAUUCUGUUUUUAUGGCAAGAAGUGGGCGCACUGGACCACCUCCUGUACUUGGUGGGAAAGAAUGCCAACCUUUGCCUAUAGCCAGAUUUACACGUACUCAGGUGCCGAGUGGGUUGUCAGGAUCCAAAAAUAAUAAUUAUUCUGAUAUUGCUGUAUCUCCUAAGCCCGGGGCUAUGGCAAAAGAUGUACCAUCCACUGGGGGCUGUGGUCCGCAACCAUCAGCUAUUGAUGGAUAUAGACCACCCAAACUUAACCACACUCACGAACAAUAUGGUACUGUAGCCCAGCAGCCCCAGUUAAAAUCAAAAUUGGAUGUGAACUCCAAAUUGAUGCAAACGGGAAACUUUAGCAGAAAUUCAACGCCUUCCCAUACAGUGAUAUCUAAACCUAGCGGACAUCCCUCCAGUAGCAGAGAAACAGAAAAAUACAUAGUCCCUCAAGUAAAUGCUGGAUCUGCUCCUUUAAUCAAGCAUUGUACUCCAGAUACAGGGAAGGCCAAAUUUUUAUCUCCAUCUCAGUACCACCCUCUGUGUAAAACUGAGCCAUGCGUUACUCAAGAACCUCCAUCAAUGCCUCAGCAAGAACGUACCGCCAAGAGGGAAAGUGAAAUGAGAGCAUUGAUCAAUUGUACUGGAGGAUCCAGAGCAAGUCCUUUGAUGCAACCUCAGCCUGUUGCAGCAGGACCUCCUCCACCUGUACAUUCCACCAAACAGGAGCCAUCCCCUGAGGGGCAUGAGAAAUGUUUGGAUAUUGUAAACAUCUUAAAGACCUCCAUUCCAAAGGAUCUGGCUACUUUCUACCAAACCUGGGGUGCCAAUAGCCCCGUAAUGGACCGUGCUGGUAAGAAUCCUAAGAACUGUCUUUCCAGCAUAUUUUUAAAUUCUUAAUUUUAUUUUCCCCCUUAACAUAAGGAAUUCCACAAAACACUCGUGUUGUUACUGUCUGUGUUUGACAAGGUUAUCUCUCCUAUUUAACUGUCCUGUCCUGCAUCAGAUCAUUUAGGUGGCUUACCUGGGAAUAACACUGCUGUUGAAUUUAAUGACAUUUCCUUCUGAAGGAAGAUAUGUAAGGUCUCACUGCUAGAAUUCUAUCUGCAAUUAAGUGCUGGAUUCAGUCCCUUAAAAAAAGGGGGGGGAAUGUUUGAAGUGGCUUGAGAGAAUUCCCUCUACAUGAAAUGUCCAAGCAGAAGAUACAGUAUCAGAUUUGUAUCCAAUCUAAAAUAGGGGGCAGGAAUUUACUUUGUGUGAGAAAUGAUUAUUUCAAGAAAAUUAUGACUUUAUUGAACAUUUCAAGUGCAAGGGAUUUUCAUAAUUCACUGUCAGAUCUCUGCUUUUGGAGAUAAAACUGAUGAUAAAACAUUGAAGGGAAGAGAAAAGAAAUAAUAAAAAGAACAAUUCAGUAUUAGGACAAAAUAUUGUUGGCUAGGUUUGAAGCUUGUUGGAUUUUCAGACUCGGGUUUAGCUGCUAGAAUCAGAAUAUUAACGUCUUAAUUUGCAAAGUUCCCUUUCUGUGCAAUGGAUUUGAGCAGAAAUCUUGGGAACUGGAUAAUUCAGAUUGACUUGAAGGAUAUUUGACUCUGCUUAUCUCAGUCCUACCAACCGUGUAACAUUAUUCUUUAUUUCAAAUAGUUGUGAAUUGAAAAGUAGAUCUUUUAUGGCAAGCAAAAAAAAUAUAUAGCAGUAUUUUCAGUCAUAAUGGCAACUAUCAUUUUAAUACUUAAAAUGGGAAUUUAUUAAUGUAUACAGUACUUAUUAAACAUGCUGAGCCUUUAUGCUUUAUGAUAGCAAUAAUGAAAGAGUGCUCCUGAGCAUAUGCAGAGCUCUAUUUCCACAGUCAGGUUACCAGAAUUUUUAUAGCCAAAACCUAGGAUUAGCAAUAAAUAGUGAGCUCCCACAAGAGCAAGCAAAGGAGAUCCUAAUUCUGGAGAAGAUUUUGAAUUUAGGCUUAGCUGGAAAUCUUGUUCAAAUACAAAACUAAAUAUAGCAUUCUCAGAAUUUAAGAUGAAUUGAUUUAUCCACAAGAUAGCAUAAAAGAAUGCAGCAUUUGACACCAAUGACUUGUCUUCCCUAAGUGAUUUAUUAAAAUUUACUUUUUUCUUGUUUGCCCAGUGUAAAUAUUUUGUUGCUUAUUCUCCUAGCCCCUUUCCUUAUGAGCUAAAUUAAUAAAGAUUUCAUUACUAACCAGUUAGAAAGAAUAAGACCCAUUUUGGGAAAAUUCCUUGCAAAUGUGCACACAUCUUAAAGAUUUAUAUAGGCAGUUGUAUACAAUGUCCACUGAGCAAAAGGAAGUUACAGCACAUUUGCCAAGAUGUAAAACAAAGAUAUUUUGAUGAGUUUUAUCCAUGACAGCUGUUGGUGAGAAAAUAUCCUUAAAAUAUGGCAUAAACAUUUGAUUUGUAAAAGAUACUCUAAAACUGUUAGCAAUUAUCUUGUAAAGAGCUGCCUGUAGGGCAAUAUCUAAUAGGUUGCUAAGGGUAAGGAAGUUGAACUCAAUAGAAUUGUUACCUAAGCAAAAAGGCUUGAAAUAUUUUUAAGACCUGAGAAACAAGGUAAUAUUCAAAACAGCUUGGGCAUACAAAUCCCUAAUUCACUGAACCAUAAACUAGAGGAGAAACAGCAUAAUCAGACUUGGAAGAUUAUGUUCUUAUAGCCAGUCUCAAUACAAGUUAGUCUUCUUGUAGAUUCUUGGUCUGUUUUACUUAGUGGGACCUGCACAAGUGCUCUAAGAAGUUGCAGUGAAAACGUAUAUCCAUUAUUUUGCUUAUUGAAAAAGUUAAAAGGGCUCGUUCUUAUAAUGGGGCUACUACUAAACAAACGAAAAAUUCAUUUUUUAAAAAUUCAUUUUUGAACCCAUAUAUGAACUAAAACUUAGUUCUUUUUCAAAAUGCAAUGUUUUUGGCUCUUUCCAGUACAAAAAACAGCCUUUACGGCAUGUGUAAAGGCCAUAUACAAAGAUUUAGGAAAAUGCAAAUGCAUCCUAAUAGACCAAAAAAUAUGUGCAGAAUCUGAACAUUAAGCAAACUUGGAAACAAAAACAUGCUUAUUUGGAAAACGACCAAAGAAAAUACAAGAAAAUAAGAAUAAAUUGAGUCAAGACAGGGAUAAGAUGAAAGAAAAAGAGAAAAUCAGAUUGAAAAAUAAUAAGAGAGAGAAACCAUUGUGACAGAUUUACUUAUUGGUGACUACUAUUUGGCUGUGCCUUUUUUUAAGUGAUGAAGUAAAAUCCACUUGCAUUGGGAUGAAUCUGUUCUUUGGUUCUUCCCAUGUCAACAUUACUCCAUUUCUGGAACAGCUAAUGCUAGGAUCAGGAACAUUUUUCAGAAGAUGAUUCCCCCCCCCCCAUAUUAAUUUUGGUAAGUAGGAAGCAAUCACAUGUUAGCCAAUUCCCACAUGAAAACAUUAGAAUGCCUUGACUUCAAGUCUUCCCAGAUUAUUUCAGCCAUAAUCCGUAGGCUGACUUUUGACUUUUUUCUUAUGCUGCAGCCAUAAGAAACUCUCAGAUGCCAAUAGUAAUGCCAUUAUGCAACUUAGGACAGCUCUCAUUAAUAGAACACACUACAUCGGUAACCUUGACUUAGAACAGUUCAUUUAGUUCGGCAAAGUUACAAUGGUACUGAUCAACUUUGUCGACCUGACAAACAAAAUCAAUGGGGAAGCCAGAUUGAC
Notechis scutatus (mainland tiger snake) is the source of this 6837-nucleotide non-coding RNA. The record is from RefSeq and is a predicted model, not a curated record. Lineage: Eukaryota; Metazoa; Chordata; Lepidosauria; Squamata; Elapidae.